RNAcentral lists this ribosomal RNA (96 nucleotides) under Azotobacter vinelandii. RNAcentral describes it as "16S rRNA. Bacterial SSU". It matches the Rfam family "Bacterial small subunit ribosomal RNA", at positions 1 to 93 of the family's 1533-position model. The record is from RNAcentral. Lineage: Bacteria; Pseudomonadati; Pseudomonadota; Gammaproteobacteria; Pseudomonadales; Pseudomonadaceae.
UGAAACUGAAGAGUUUGAUCAUGGCUCAGAUUGAACGCUGGCGGCAGGCCUAACACAUGCAAGUCGAGCGGCAGCGGGACCUUCGGGUUGCCGGCG